AAUUUAAUGUUUGUAGAAAGCCACUGGGGAACUGAUAUGAUGCCAUGACAUAAAGUGCAGAAAUGACAUCCACUUCACCUUGCCUCACAUAAUUUGACAACUGCGCCCUUCCCACUGCUCUGUUUCCAAGAGCAGCUUGUGCAUAGAUAUCAAUUGGCUAAAGCUUGGUAAAACACAGCAGGAAAGAUGGAUGCAUCAUUAAGAUUUUUCCCCCUUAAGCUUUUCAUCCAUCCACCAAUAAAAGAUGGUGGCAUUCAUCAGUUUUAAAGAAUUAAAAGCCAAUUAAAAUAACUAUGCCUUGUUUUCCACUCACAGUGAAAGCAGUAUUCAGUGAGAAACCAGAAAAGUAAAAUGCAAAGUUUCAACAAUUUUCUGAUUUCAACAUGGUUUGGUUCCUUUAUCAGUGUGCUGCGUGGUCUUUCUACACAAUAUUCCAGGGUUGUGUAACUUCUGGAACUCCAGGAGUGAGUAACAUCCCAAUGUGGGGUCAUAUGGCACUUGCUUCGAUAGAAGAGGUUGCUAAUUAAGCAAUAACAAUUAAGGCGCUGGGCAUUUCCUGCAGACUAAUGACCAACUAGGAGGAGCUGUGCCAAGGGCCAUUAACCCCAGACAGUCACUCACUGCGAUGGAACAGAUUUCUUUGAAGAAUAUUAAUGUUUGAAAAUAACAAGGACAAUUCUGGAGAUAAUAUAAAUGUAAACAGGAAUGACUCAAAUUAAGUAGAUUGUGAUGGUUUGUGUAGUAAACUCCAGGCCUCUUCUGUAUUCUGGGUAAGGGAGGAAAAUGGAUAGCAGGAAAAUGGAUAGCAAGAAAAUGGUACAUCAAAGAAUAUUAAAUGCCAUUAUGUUCUCAAGCUUCUCUAAACUGCUCUCUUCACACCUGCCUCCUUGAAUGUUUGC
Long non-coding RNA from Passer domesticus (house sparrow), 899 nucleotides. RefSeq lists it as uncharacterized. The record is from RefSeq and is a predicted model, not a curated record. The transcript has 3 exons. NCBI's taxonomy places the organism in Eukaryota, Metazoa, Chordata, Aves, Passeriformes, Passeridae.